GACGAACGCUGGCGGCGUGCCUAAUACAUGCAAGUUGAGCGAUGAAGAUUGGUGCUUGCACCAAUUUGAAGAGCAGCGAACGGGUGAGUAACGCGUGGGGAAUCUGCCUUUGAGCGGGGGACAACAUUUGGAAACGAAUGCUAAUACCGCAUAACAACUUUAAACAUAAGUUUUAAGUUUGAAAGAUGCAAUUGCAUCACUCAAAGAUGAUCCCGCGUUGUAUUAGCUAGUUGGUGAGGUAAAGGCUCACCAAGGCGAUGAUACAUAGCCGACCUGAGAGGGUGAUCGGCCACAUUGGGACUGAGACACGGCACAAACUCCUACGGGAGGCAGCAGUAGGGAAUCGUCGGCAAUGGACGAAAGUCUGACCGAGCAACGCCGCGUGAGUGAAGAAGGUGUUCGGAUCGUAAAACUCUGUUGGUAGAGAAGAACGUUGGUGAGAGUGGAAAGCUCAUCAAGUGACGGUAACUACCCAGAAAGGGACGGCUAACUACGUG
RNAcentral lists this ribosomal RNA (497 nucleotides) under uncultured bacterium. Its description in RNAcentral is "partial 16S ribosomal RNA". It matches the Rfam family "Bacterial small subunit ribosomal RNA", at positions 28 to 507 of the family's 1533-position model. The record is from RNAcentral.